Mercenaria mercenaria is the source of this 669-nucleotide long non-coding RNA. RefSeq lists it as uncharacterized. The transcript has 5 exons. Lineage: Eukaryota; Metazoa; Mollusca; Bivalvia; Venerida; Veneridae. The record is from RefSeq and is a predicted model, not a curated record.
UCAGCAGUAUUUUCCCGAACAUCUCCAAGAACAAUCUACGAUGAGGGACAACUUCAAGACAAAGGCAAAGAAAUUCUUUGUGAAAGGUAAAGUGAUGUAUAACCUGCAAGAAGUCAGAUCCACUUAAACCAUCACAGAAACCUGAACUGCAGCAAAUAAAGGUGUUAAGUCCUUUUGAACUGAUUAGUGUUGACCUGAUAGGAUCUUUCACAACUAGUCAAGGGUCUUUACAUCUUCACUGCAACAGACUAUUACACAAAGUGGGUUGAGGCAUUUCUUAUUCCAUCAAAGCAAGCCUCAGAUGUUGCUAAGUGCUUCCAAAAGCUUUUCCUAGAUGUGAUGCUGUGAAUGUUGUCCUCACUGACCAGGGAAAAGAAUUUGUAAAUAGUAUUAUAAAUGCAUUCCUGCAGAUGAUUAAGGUGCGAGUCAUUACAUCAGAGAGCCCCAUCUUCUUGCUCCCUUCUUCUUGCUCCCUUCUUACACAGCAUUGUGGGAUGCUAGUGACAUAGACCACUGGCUAUUUAAAAAGGUGCAGUUUAGAAAGUACAGAUACAUUGUAAAUGCCUGUAGAUGUCAGCAACAAUCAUUUGGUACUUUAAGUAGCAAGUGUGAGAGACAGAACCAUAACGGUUUCCAUGAAUGGAAGUAAUGGAGACAUGUUCAUUGACC